This 253-nucleotide ribosomal RNA is filed under the name uncultured bacterium. RNAcentral's name for it is "partial 16S ribosomal RNA". It matches the Rfam family "Bacterial small subunit ribosomal RNA", at positions 524 to 776 of the family's 1533-position model. The record is from RNAcentral.
UACGGGGGGGGCAAGCGUUGUUCGGAAUUACUGGGCGUAAAGGGCUCGUAGGUGGCCAACUAAGUCAGAUGUGAAAUCCCUCGGCUUAACCGGGGAACUGCGUCUGAUACUGGAUGGCUUGAGUUCGGGAGAGGGAUGCAGAAUUCCAGGUGUAGCGGUGAAAUGCGUAGAUAUCUGGAGGAAUACCGGUGGCGAAGGCGGCAUCCUGGACCGGCAUUGACGCUGAGGAGCGAAAGCGUGGGGAGCAAACAGG